CACGGAUGCAUUUCCUCCUGAGAAGUGCCCUUGUUAACAUUACCAUGAAUGAUGUUUGCAUCAUGACUGUUCAAGUAACUUCCUAGAACAAAGACUUUCCCCCCAUCCUUCUUUUGAAGAUUUGCAAAGAAAACCAAAAACUAUCAUGUUCUUUCCCUUGCCACUGGACAACUUAUGGAGAUGUCUCAAGCCAUACUCAUUAUGUCUAUCAGCUGGUGGUUUAUAACGUUGCAUUCACCUCAAUUUCUUGUUCCAAGUCCUGCUCAUUUCAU
This is a long non-coding RNA of Nycticebus coucang (slow loris), 272 nucleotides long. RefSeq lists it as uncharacterized. The transcript has 3 exons. The record is from RefSeq and is a predicted model, not a curated record. Lineage: Eukaryota; Metazoa; Chordata; Mammalia; Primates; Lorisidae.